Molecule: long non-coding RNA, 1057 nt
Filed under: Rattus norvegicus (Norway rat)
Lineage: Eukaryota; Metazoa; Chordata; Mammalia; Rodentia; Muridae
Description: long non-coding RNA NONRATT028555
Source: RNAcentral
UGCUUCAAGGCAUACCAAGGUAUUGGUGCAGGGUGUCCUCAAGACCAUCACAAAGUAGCAGCGCCUAAGCUGUGUUUCCAGGACACUGAGUAGCAGCUGGUCCUGACCCCUGAAACCCUGUCUGGGAGCACACAAUAAUGCCUUCUCAAAGUGCCCCAUGGCCUGUGGUUAGAGUGCUCAGGGCUACAGCAGGAGGCCCAUCCCAGUGGAGGCUGAAGCAGAAACCAGGGAGCAACAGGAACUCAGGCCCUGAGCUGGGAAGCCAGGCUCCUCCUGCACAGGCUCCAGGAGGACCUCCGAUCUGCUCUGCUAUAGUGGUUCCUUUGACUGCCACUCUGUUGUACCGAGCUUAUGGAGGGUUGCACACUGGGAAAUUUCAUAUAGGGUUUAGACCUUUUUAAAGAUGCACAACAAAGGAACUGUUGUGUGCCCUGUGAGGUGGUAAUGUGUGCCUUCCCCCACCUCACCACACUGUUUUUUCCAUAUGGACCCAGCUUUCCACUUGUGUCCUUCCUAAAUCCAAAGGCUCUUCCUUCCAUCUGUUCUCACUAUGUGGGAUCAGAAUUCUUAAUUUCAUUAGUUUUGAUUUGUACGAAAUGUUCAGGUAUUAUAGCAAUAUUAAAAGAACCACAGAUGUGUUAGUCAUUUACGAGAAAAGCUUAACCCUUUAACUCACUCUGAAAAAUAGAUGCUAUACCUAGUCAACCAGAUAUCUAGAAGUAACUAGUAAUCUGUCGUUUGCACAGUGACAUCCAGGUGUUACAAACUCAGUAUUAUUUAUAAAAAUUAUAAUUUCUAUUCUUUAGAGUGGCUUGUCCAAUCAGCAGAUGAAUGCACUAAGCACAAAGCGUCUUCCUUAAAGCACAAGAAGAGAGCUACUUCACUGAUGCUGCAUCUAGAAACACCUAUAAGUUGCCUUUCCUCUCUGUAGUAAGUGUCCAGGCAGGCAAGGGAAGACUAGGCAUGGGAAGUCUCCGGAGAGCCAUCCUGGCCCACAGCCCAGCCCAGCCCCUGCCAGUGUUGGUGACUCAAGCAGUCUUGAGGCUGUCCAGAGACU